This 76-nucleotide non-coding RNA is filed under the name unclassified sequences. The record is from RNAcentral.
GCCCUCGUCGUGUCCGGUAGCAGUAAUGCCCGGGUGGUUCUGCAUUUGAGACCAUAGGAGCACGUAACGGGGGCUU